This is a long non-coding RNA of Oncorhynchus keta (chum salmon), 176 nucleotides long. RefSeq lists it as uncharacterized. Lineage: Eukaryota; Metazoa; Chordata; Actinopteri; Salmoniformes; Salmonidae. The transcript is spliced from 3 exons. The record is from RefSeq and is a predicted model, not a curated record.
UGGUGUAGAGGUGAAGACUGGGGGAAGGGGCAGAUUGGUGUAGAGGUGAAGACUGUGGGAAGGGCAGAUUGGUGUAGAGGUGAAGACUGUGGGAAGGGCAGAUUGGUGUAGAGGUGAAGACUGGGGGAAGGGCAGAUUGGUGUAGAGGUGAAGACUGUGGGAAGGGCAGAUUGGUG